GGGGAAUAUUGCACAAUGGGCGAAAGCCUGAUGCAGCAACGCCGCGUGAGUGAAGAAGGUCUUCGGAUUGUAAACCUUUGUCCUUGGUGACGAUAAUGACGGUAGCCAAGGAGGAAGCUCCGGCUAACUACGUGCCAGCAGCCGCGGUAAUACGUAGGGAGCAAGCGUUGUCCGGAUUUACUGGGUGUAAAGGGUGCGUAGGCGGCUCUGCAAGUCAGGCGUGAAAACUAUGGGCUUAACCCAUAGACUGCGUUUGAAACUGUGGGGCUUGAGUGAAGUAGAGGUAGGCGGAAUUCCCGGUGUAGCGGUGAAAUGCGUAGAGAUCGGGAGGAACACCAGUGGCGAAGGCGGCCUACUGGGCUUUAACUGACGCUGAAGCACGAAAGCAUGGGUAGCAAAC
RNAcentral lists this ribosomal RNA (400 nucleotides) under uncultured bacterium. Its description in RNAcentral is "bacterial SSU rRNA". It matches the Rfam family "Bacterial small subunit ribosomal RNA", at positions 356 to 773 of the family's 1533-position model. The record is from RNAcentral.